Molecule: ribosomal RNA, 440 nt
Filed under: uncultured bacterium
Lineage: Bacteria
Description: partial 16S ribosomal RNA
Rfam family: Bacterial small subunit ribosomal RNA
Source: RNAcentral
CCUACGGGAGGCAGCAGUGGGGAAUAUUGCACAAUGGGGGGAACCCUGAUGCAGCGACGCCGCGUGAGUGAAGAAGUAUUUCGGUAUGUAAAGCUCUAUCAGCAGGGAAGAAAAUGACGGUCCCUGACUAAGAAGCCCCGGCUAACUACGUGCCAGCAGCCGCGGUAAUCCGUAGGGGGCAAGCGUUAUCCGGAUUUACUGGGUGUAAAGGGAGCGCAGACGGCUGUGCAAGUCUGGAGUGAAAGGCGGGGGCCCAACCCCCGGACUGCUCUGGAAACUGUAAAGCUGGAGUGCAGGAGAGGUAAGCGGAAUUCCUGGUGUAGCGGUGAAAUGCGUAGAUAUUAGGAGGAACACCAGUGGCGAAGGCGGCUUACUGGACUGCAACUGACGUUGAGGCUCGAAAGCGUGGGGAGCAAACAGGAUUAGAUACCCCAGUAGUC